GUUGCCAUUUGAAAAUCAAAAGUAGGUAGUUGAUUCAUUUCCAAAAACUUAAGUGCAAAAAAUAAUGUAAAUGUAACAUUUUAGAGCUGUUUGUUUCUUAAAUUUACAAAAAAAAAAAAUUGAGAAAAAGAAAUACUUUCGAGAUAUCAAAUAUACGUGUUAAAAUAGAUCCACCUUAUGUUAUUAAUAUUUAUUUUAUUUUUUUACAGGUCUCUAUCCUAAUGAAAUGGUUGAAAUUACGGUAUCCGAUUUUGUGAAGCCUAUUUUUGGAUUUAGAAAUCUUGAUACUAACUAUUUCUUGUGGUUAGCAUGGAUCGUUAUUAUAUUCUGGGUACUAUAUUAUGCUAACCAAUACAAAAUCUUGAAUAAGAUGUUUGAUUUCACCAUAAAAAUUUGGUAUGGCAUAGAAAAUCAUGAACAUAACUAUUAAAUUAAAAAUUAUUUCAUAUAUUAAUGUAGUACACAUGUAGUGAGUUUAUUCUUUUUAAAUAUUUUUCUGGGCUUACAAUCCUAAUUUAUGUUUAUUGUCAUUUGGUAUAGUUUGAAAUUAAACCGUUCCUAGGAAAAUCUUGUGUUAUUAUUUGACUUUGAGAACCACAUAAUCAUGGUAUUUAUAGUGAUUUAAAAAAUAGAUGCUAGUAUAGUAAACAAAAAAUACACUUUUCGGAUAAAAUAUAAAUGUUAUGUAGUUUUAUUUAUGUUAAAUUUGUUAAUAUAAAUUUAAAUUUAAUUAAGCACAUUUAAAAUCAAAUAAAAUUUUACAUUUUUGCAUACACAGCUGGGUGAUAACAAUUAGAUUAAGAUUAAUAUUUAUGAAAACUGCGUGCAGAAUAUUGGUUUAUAUGUUAUGUCUCAUGUAACAUUUGUGUUUUACAUAUAUUUUUUGAAUUAAACAACUGCAUACUAACUAUACAAAUAUAGUAGAUAAAUAAAUAAAUAUCAGUAAUCAGCAACUACCUGCCGAAAAAUAACUAGAAUAUACAAAUUGAGUGCUAACCCACCAUUACUGUGGGUUGGUAUAAUUUGAAUUUGAAUUAAUUUUAAAUUUAACUAAACAUUAGAUUGGGCCUUGCAUAUUUCAUUCAAAUAAUAAUUGCACGAAUUUAAGAACUAGUUAUUAUAAACACUGUAAUUUAAAUAAUAAAUAAAUAAAAAAAAAAAAAAAACAGAAUGUCAAUAAUAUACUGCGUAUACACAACUGGGCAGCCAAAUAUGUUAAAAGUGUCAAGGUAAAUUAGGUCAUUUUUUUUUUUUUUUUUUUUUUUUGAGGACAACAAAGAAUUUAAGGAAAAUAUACCAGAAAUUACUGAGAGAAAAAAGAACAUUUAUGACUAAGAAAAAGUGUAAAAUAUAAGACACAAUUUGAUUACCUUAACAAUGUUAAUGCAUCUAAUAAAGUGUACUGUGAUUCUAUUUUUAAAAUUCUGGUAGUAAUUUUACUUAAAUCUGAACAGUAAAUAUUUACUGUACAAGAAUUUAAGAUUAUACGAAUUUACUUAUUAC
This is a non-coding RNA of Cinara cedri, 1503 nucleotides long. NCBI's taxonomy places the organism in Eukaryota, Metazoa, Arthropoda, Insecta, Hemiptera, Aphididae. The record is from the annotation of a GenBank genome assembly.